GGCUAAGUUUCCUUUGCUUUUCUCUCCAAGUCUUGGCCGACCAACACACUUGCAUUCUCUGAAUUUUUUCACAUGAAUUCUCAUCUAAACUCUUAAUCUCUCAUCUUUUUCCAUAUAUAUACCUAGUUCUAAGUCACUUGGUUUUGGUUUGGAGCUAAGGAAAUACUAGACAAGCUAGACUAUCCAAAGAAAAAAAGGCUGAGCAAAGGAGGUAAAAGGAUAGAGGUCACCCAAAGUUCAAUCCAAGGUCAUCAAGAGGUGUAUGGUCACCUCUAAUAUGUUUAUGCUUGGGUUUUGUUGAAUCUGCCAUGUUUUAAUUGUUUGAUGUAUUUUAAUUAAUUAUUUCAACUUUGGUAAUGUUUUAUUUUAUGGUAGAUCAUACAUGCAUAAGGGUUUUGAAGUUUGUCAGUGAUGGAAUCCAACAUUCCAUAGGCAAUAUCUUGAUUUUGUAAGAAAAUGUUUAAGACUUGAAUUCCAAAGGGUCAAGAAAAUUUUAUAUGAAUCUGAUUAUGGAUUUUCUUGGUUC
This is a long non-coding RNA of Humulus lupulus (European hop), 526 nucleotides long. RefSeq lists it as uncharacterized. The record is from RefSeq and is a predicted model, not a curated record. The transcript is spliced from 2 exons. NCBI's taxonomy places the organism in Eukaryota, Viridiplantae, Streptophyta, Magnoliopsida, Rosales, Cannabaceae.